RNAcentral lists this ribosomal RNA (254 nucleotides) under uncultured bacterium. RNAcentral's name for it is "partial 16S ribosomal RNA". It matches the Rfam family "Bacterial small subunit ribosomal RNA", at positions 524 to 776 of the family's 1533-position model. The record is from RNAcentral.
UACGGAGGGUGCAAGCGUUAUCCGGAUUCACUGGGUUUAAAGGGCGCGUAGGCGGCCGAGCGGGUCGCGGGUGAAAUCCUCCAGCUUAACUGGAGAACUGCCCUCGAUACCACUGCGGCUCGAGGAAGGAAGGGGCAAUCGGAACUGUCGGUGGAGCGGUGAAAUGCGUUGAUAUCGACAGGAACGCCGGUGGCGAAAGCGGAUUGCUGGUCCUUUUCUGACGCUGAUGCGCGAAAGCCAGGGGAGCAAACGGG